This is a long non-coding RNA of Myxocyprinus asiaticus (Chinese sucker), 459 nucleotides long. RefSeq lists it as uncharacterized. NCBI's taxonomy places the organism in Eukaryota, Metazoa, Chordata, Actinopteri, Cypriniformes, Catostomidae. The transcript is spliced from 3 exons. The record is from RefSeq and is a predicted model, not a curated record.
GCUGGACCAUGGGUAAUGUAGUUGUUUACCUGGAAUUCCAUUAUUAAACAUGAUCAUUAAACAAUGAAGUUGAAAUAAUGUGGACUGAUGGCUUCAAUGGAAGCAUAUCGAUGAACAACCUCGGAGCUCAAGGGGAAAGCUUCAGAAGACUUUUUUACCAGUUCCGAGUGGGAGUAUCAACAAUUUUGCUAUUUAUUCCUGAAACCUGUGCAGCAAUCUACCAGGUUUUAAAAGAGAAAUACCUAAAGUGCCCAGACACAGUGGAAUAGUGGCAGCAAGUAGCUGAUAGAUUCCAGGCUAAGUGGAACUUCCCAAACAGCCAAUGCAACAACACAAGCCAAGCAGCUCCGGGAUGAACUAUGCCGUUACUUUAAUUCUGACAUCGGUGUGGUGCAUUUUCAGUGGUGCAAAAUAUGGGAAGCGUGUAUAUGUAUGCAAAAUAUAGGAAAUGUGUAAAAU